RNAcentral lists this transfer RNA (57 nucleotides) under Paraleius leontonychus. Its description in RNAcentral is "tRNA-Ser(gct)". Lineage: Eukaryota; Metazoa; Arthropoda; Arachnida; Sarcoptiformes; Scheloribatidae. The record is from RNAcentral.
AGGAAAAUAAAUUAAGAGCCGCUAACUCUUUUUAAAGCCCACCCGGCUUGUUUCCUA